This 1022-nucleotide long non-coding RNA is filed under the name Homo sapiens (human). RNAcentral's name for it is "long non-coding RNA NONHSAT150612.1". The record is from RNAcentral. Lineage: Eukaryota; Metazoa; Chordata; Mammalia; Primates; Hominidae.
ACAAAACCCUCCACGGAGAGGUCCUCUGAGCCAGAAUGGCUCUUUUGGCCCAUCCCCUGUGAGUGGUGGAGAAUGCUCCCCUCCAUUGACAGUGGAGCCACCCGUGAGACCUCUCUCUGCUACUCUCAAUCGAAGAGAUAUGCCUAGAAGUGAAUUUGGAUCAGUGGACGGGCCUCUACCUCAUCCUCGAUGGUCAGCUGAGGCAUCUGGGAAACCCUCUCCUUCUGAUCCAGGAUCUGGUACAGCUACCAUGAUGAACAGCAGCUCAAGAGGCUCUUCCCCUACCAGGGUACUCGAUGAAGGCAAGGUUAAUAUGGCUCCAAAAGGGCCCCCUCCUUUCCCAGGAGUCCCUCUCAUGAGCACCCCCAUGGGAGGCCCUGUACCACCACCCAUUCGAUAUGGACCACCACCUCAGCUCUGCGGACCUUUUGGGCCUCGGCCACUUCCUCCACCCUUUGGCCCUGGUAUGCGUCCACCACUAGGCUUAAGAGAAUUUGCACCAGGCGUUCCACCAGGAAGACGGGACCUGCCUCUCCACCCUCGGGGAUUUUUACCUGGACACGCACCAUUUAGACCUUUAGGUUCACUUGGCCCAAGAGAGUACUUUAUUCCUGGUACCCGAUUACCACCCCCAACCCAUGGUCCCCAGGAAUACCCACCACCACCUGCUGUAAGAGACUUACUGCCGUCAGGCUCUAGAGAUGAGCCUCCACCUGCCUCUCAGAGCACUAGCCAGGACUGUUCACAGGCUUUAAAACAGAGCCCAUAAAACUAUGACCUCUGAGGUUUCAUUGGAAAGAAAGUGUACUGUGCAUUAUCCAUUACAGUAAAGGAUUUCAUUGGCUUCAAAAUCCAAAAGUUUAUUUUAAAAGGUUUGUUGUUAGAACUAAGCUGCCUUGGCAGUGUGCAUUUUUGAGCCAAACAAUUCAAAAAUGUCAUUUCUUCCCUAAAUAAAAAUCACCUUUUAAGCUAGAGCGUCCUUACAACUUUGAAAUGUGCAAUAAAGAAUACCUGUGUUUUAG